UACGUAGGGCGCAAGCGUUGUCCGGAAUUAUUGGGCGUAAAGAGCUCGUAGGUGGCUUGUCACGUCGGGUGUGAAAGCUUGGGGCUUAACUCCAGGUCUGCAUUCGAUACGGGCUGGCUAGAGGUAGGUAGGGGAGAACGGAAUUCCCGGUGUAGCGGUGAAAUGCGUAGAGAUCGGGAGGAACACCAGAGGCGAAGGCGGCUCGCUGGACAGUGACUGACACUCAACUACGAAAGCGUGGGGAGCAAACAGG
This 253-nucleotide ribosomal RNA is filed under the name uncultured bacterium. Its description in RNAcentral is "partial 16S ribosomal RNA". It matches the Rfam family "Bacterial small subunit ribosomal RNA", at positions 524 to 776 of the family's 1533-position model. The record is from RNAcentral.